This 212-nucleotide ribosomal RNA is filed under the name Candidatus Carsonella ruddii. RNAcentral's name for it is "partial 16S ribosomal RNA". It matches the Rfam family "Bacterial small subunit ribosomal RNA", at positions 1271 to 1498 of the family's 1533-position model. Lineage: Bacteria; Pseudomonadati; Pseudomonadota; Gammaproteobacteria; Oceanospirillales; Halomonadaceae. The record is from RNAcentral.
AUCUUAUAAAAUUACUCUUAGUUCGGAUUGAAAUCUGCAACUCGAUUUCAUGAAGUAGGAAUCGCUAGUAAUCGUAAAUCAGAAUGUUACGGUGAAUACGUUCUCGAGCCUUGUACACACCGCCCGUCACACCAUGGAAGUAAAUUGUAUCAUAAGUAAUUUUAUUAUUAUUAAGGUAUGAUUUGUAACUGGGGUGAAGUCGUAACAAGGUA